AGUCGUAACAAGGUUUCCGUAGGUGAACCUGCGGAAGGAUCAUUACCACAAUAUCUUUCUGUAUUCCGUGAACAAUUUUGAUAAUAACGAUUGUCACUCGUUUUUACGGACGAGUCGAUAAUGCCUUUUUUGUUUAUAAACUUAUAAAAAACGAAUGUUGUAUUGUAAUUGAUACAACUUUUAGCGAUGGAUGUCUAGGCUCUC
This 204-nucleotide unclassified non-coding RNA is filed under the name fungal sp. Its description in RNAcentral is "partial internal transcribed spacer region". The stretch from base 1 to 45 matches the Rfam family "Eukaryotic small subunit ribosomal RNA", at positions 1787 to 1831 of the family's 1831-position model. The record is from RNAcentral. Lineage: Eukaryota; Fungi.